RNAcentral lists this ribosomal RNA (478 nucleotides) under Bdellovibrionales bacterium. RNAcentral's name for it is "bacterial SSU rRNA". It matches the Rfam family "Eukaryotic small subunit ribosomal RNA", at positions 160 to 600 of the family's 1831-position model. Lineage: Bacteria; Pseudomonadati; Bdellovibrionota; Bdellovibrionia; Bdellovibrionales. The record is from RNAcentral.
AUUGCUAAUACGUGUCUGAAGAAUCCUAGUCAAUCCACUAGAACAGGGUAAAACCUGUGCUAGUGACUAGGAUGCAGUUGACCGAAAUAGGAACCAACGCUGGCAACAGCAGCGGUCUGUGGAUGAAACAGGUCAACCGAGCGAUAGCACACGACCUCGAGUCGGUGCAAGCCCGCAAGAGCAUCUGCCCUAUCAGCUUUUGACGGUAGUGUAGUGGACUACCGUGGCGUUCACGGGUAACGGGGAAUUAGGGUUCGAUUCCGGAGAGGGAGCCUGAGAAACGGCUACCACAUCUAAGGAUGGCAGCAGGCGCGCAAAUUGCCCAAUAGCAACACUGCUGAGGCAGCGAAGAGAAAUAGUGUCAAUUUACGCAUCUGUGUACAUUGCACACAAUGGACGAUAUCUAAACCUGUCGAUGAAAGCAAUUGGAGGACAAGUCUGGUGCCAGCACCCGCGGUAAUUCCAGCUCCAAUAGCGU